AAAACUGAAACAAGAUGUAAAUUUGUUUGAAGUCAUAAUUACCUGUAACGAACGCUUGAAGUAAAUCAACUUGUGCUCUGUUAUGAGUUUUAUUGUUCUAAUUACUUCAAAAAUAUUUCUUUGGUGUUUUUCUGUGUACUUUGUCAGAAUCCAUCAGUGAACUAAUGCCAAAACGGGUCACAGUUUGCUAAUUGGUGUUUGUUUCUGAAAUUUUACAUAUAAGCUACAACUUGUGUCCACAGUGUAGUUUGUCCAAUUUAAAAGUGAGCAGAGUAUUGUUUAGUUGUGGAUACAAUCUGAAGCAAAAAUUCACAAUUACUCCCAGAUUCUUGCAUUUUCUUCAACAUUUGUUUCCUCUAUUAGUUUCUUCUUCAACUGAACUAAAACCACUUUUAACAGUAACGCAUUAAGAGACUUCUGCAAUCAGCAGAGCUGUGGUAACAGCACUACAAAGUACUGAGUCAUGGAGUCUUAAACCUGAAAGCAUAUUUUCCCACACUUGUCUAAUUGCAUUUCAGUUUCUAAAAGGAGAUUAGAAGCCCACGUGACUUGUAAGAGUUAUUAACAUUGUGAAUUAAAAUGCCAAACUUACAAAGUAUCAGGGCAGUGAUAAAUGAAAUGUGGGGGGGAAAAAAUGUGACCAUGGAAAUUUCUGCCAAAAAUGAUAUUCUGUGAUGUCAAAACGUUUUAAAUUUGCAUGAAAAAUGGCAGAGAGAAAAGCCUCUUAAAUGUUCCCAACAAAAACUCACACAUUUGUAACACAAGCUUACACUUUGGAAAAAUGGAGAUGCACAUCUCAGAAAUGCAACACUUCAAUCUUAAGAGGCAUUCUGGGAUUUUCUGUCACAAAUGUCCAGCGUUGUAACAAAAGAAUUCCAUGCAAAGUUUUCACUUUGCAAUGUAACAGAAUAUCCUUUUCUUUAUACAAAUGUACAACUUUUUGACAUCAGAGAAUAUUCAAGGUUUUUCAACAUUUAGUCCUCUGUGGCAUUUUUUUCUUUGAUCUACAAUGGCCUAAAGAGUGUCUUGGAAACUUUCAAAUAAAUGCCAAAAAAACUUGCCAUACGCCAACUACAACAAAAGCUUUCUCAUUUUGAAAGUACUACACCAUUUAUGUCAAGUCUACCUUAGUUUAGUUCUGUGUUCAGAGCCAUUUGUAUUCUUGUUUAAAUGAACCCUCUGAUGUCUUGCGUAAACAUUCAG
Molecule: long non-coding RNA, 1203 nt
Organism: Poecilia latipinna (sailfin molly)
Lineage: Eukaryota; Metazoa; Chordata; Actinopteri; Cyprinodontiformes; Poeciliidae
Exons: 2
Source: RefSeq, a predicted model, not a curated record